The submitters of this non-coding RNA (69 nucleotides) gave its source as unclassified sequences. The record is from Rfam.
GAAGUGCGAACCAAGCCGCGGCGACAACCGCGUAAGACUUGGAGCGGACGGCCGCAAGACCGUCCUGCA